GAUCCUGGCUCAGGACGAACGCUGGCGGCGUGCUUAACACAUGCAAGUCGAACGAGAAUCUACUGAAAGAGUUUUCGGACAAUGGAUGUAGAGGAAAGUGGCGGACGGGUGAGUAACGCGUGAGGAACCUGCCUUGAAGAGGGGGACGACAGUUGGAAACGACUGCUAAUACCGCAUGACGCAUAGAGGUCGCAUGAUUUUUAUGCCAAAGAUUUAUCGCUUCAAGAUGGCCUCGCG
Molecule: ribosomal RNA, 237 nt
Filed under: uncultured bacterium
Lineage: Bacteria
Description: partial 16S ribosomal RNA
Rfam family: Bacterial small subunit ribosomal RNA
Source: RNAcentral